This 334-nucleotide unclassified non-coding RNA is filed under the name soil metagenome. RNAcentral's name for it is "partial contains 5.8S ribosomal RNA, internal transcribed spacer 2, and large subunit ribosomal RNA". The stretch from base 1 to 120 matches the Rfam family "5.8S ribosomal RNA", at positions 35 to 154 of the family's 154-position model. The record is from RNAcentral.
GAUGAAGAACGCAGCGAAAUGCGAUAAGUAAUGUGAAUUGCAGAAUUCAGUGAAUCAUCGAAUCUUUGAACGCACAUUGCGCCCGCCAGUAUUCUGGCGAGCAUGCCUGUUCGAGCGUCAUUUCAACCAUCAAGCCCCAGGCUUGUGUUGGAGCCCUGCGGCUGCCGUAGCCUCCCAAAACCAGUGGCGGGCUCGCUAUCACACCGAGUGCAGUAGUUUACUCUUCGCUCAGGGCGUGUGGCGGGUGCUAGCCGUGAAACCCCCAACUUCUCAAGGUUGACCUCGGAUCAGGUAGGAAUACCCGCUGAACUUAAGCAUAUCAAUAAGCGGAGGA